RNAcentral lists this ribosomal RNA (370 nucleotides) under uncultured bacterium. RNAcentral's name for it is "bacterial SSU rRNA". It matches the Rfam family "Bacterial small subunit ribosomal RNA", at positions 529 to 896 of the family's 1533-position model. The record is from RNAcentral.
AGGGGGCAAGCGUUGUCCGGAUUUAUUGGGCGUAAAGAGCGUGUAGGCGGCCAAAUAGGUCGGUUGUGAAAACUGGAUGGCUCAACCUCCAGACGUCGACCGAAACCAUCUGGCUAGAGUCCGGAAGAGGAGAAUGGAAUUCCUGGUGUAGCGGUGAAAUGCGCAGAUAUCAGGAAGAACACCCGUGGCGAAGGCGGUUCUCUGGGACGGUACUGACGCUGAGACGCGAAAGCGUGGGGAGCGAACAGGAUUAGAUACCCUGGUAGUCCACGCCGUAAACGAUGGGUGCUAGGUGUGGGGGGUGUCGACUCCCCCCGUGCCGAAGCUAACGCAUUAAGCACCCCGCCUGGGGAGUACGGCCGCAAGGCUA